This 1370-nucleotide ribosomal RNA is filed under the name uncultured bacterium. RNAcentral's name for it is "bacterial SSU rRNA". It matches the Rfam family "Bacterial small subunit ribosomal RNA". The record is from RNAcentral.
ACGGCAGCGACAUCUAGCUUGCUAGAUGGGCGGCGAGUGGCGGACGGGUGAGUAAUGCAUAGGAAUCUGCCCAGUAGUGGGGGACAACCUGGGGAAACUCAGGCUAAUACCGCAUACGACCUACGGGUGAAAGGGGGCUUCGGCUCUCGCUAUUGGAUGAGCCUAUGUCUGAUUAGCUAGUUGGUGGGGUAAAGGCCUACCAAGGCGACGAUUGGUAGCCGAACUGAGAGGUUGAUCGGCCACAUUGGGACUGAGACACGGCCCAGACUCCUACGGGAGGCAGCAGUGGGGAAUAUUGCGCAAUGGGGGAAACCCUGACGCAGCAACGCCGCGUGAAGGAAGAAGGCUUUCGGGUUGUAAACUUCUUUGAUCAGGGAAGAAAAAAAUGACGGUACCUGAAGAACAAGCCACGGCUAACUACGUGCCAGCAGCCGCGGUAAUACGUAGGUGGCGAGCGUUAUCCGGAAUUACUGGGUGUAAAGAGCAUGUAGGCGGAAUUGCAAGUCAGAUGUUAAAUCUUGAGGCUCAACCUCAAGCAGCAUCUGAAACUGUUUUUCUUGAGUACUGGAGAGGAAAGUGGAAUUCCUAGUGUAGCGGUGAAAUGCGUAGAUAUUAGGAGGAACACCAGUGGCGAAGGCGGCUUUCUGGACAGUAACUGACGCUGAGAUGCGAAAGUGUGGGUAGCAAACAGGAUUAGAUACCCUGGUAGUCCACACCGUAAACGAUGGAUACUAGGUGUAGGAGGUAUCGACCCCUUCUGUGCCGGAGUUAACACAUUAAGUAUCCCACCUGGGAAGUACGACCGCAAGGUUGAAACUCAAAGGAAUUGACGGGGACCCGCACAAGCAGUGGAGUAUGUGGUUUAAUUCGAAGCAACGCGAAGAACCUUACCAAGGCUUGACAUCCCUUUGACCGUCCUAGAGAUAGGAUUUCCCUUCGGGGCAAAGGUGACAGGUGGUGCAUGGUUGUCGUCAGCUCGUGUCGUGAGAUGUUGGGUUAAGUCCCGCAACGAGCGCAACCCUUGUCGUUAGUUGCCAUCAGGUAAUGCUGGGCACUUUAGCGAGACUGCCGGUGAUAAACCGGAGGAAGGUGGGGACGACGUCAAAUCGUCAUGCCCCUUAUGUCUUGGGCUACACACGUACUACAAUGGCUAUUACAACGGGAAGCAAUACCGUGAGGUGGAGCAAAACCUAAAAGAUAGUCCCAGUUCAGAUUGUAGGCUGAAACUCGCCUACAUGAAGUUGGAAUUGCUAGUAAUGGCAGGUCAGCAUACUGCCGUGAAUACGUUCCCGGGUCUUGUACACACCGCCCGUCACACCAUGAGAGUUUGUAACACCCGAAGUCAGUGGUUUAACCGUAAGGAGGACGCU